This 481-nucleotide ribosomal RNA is filed under the name uncultured bacterium. Its description in RNAcentral is "partial 16S ribosomal RNA". It matches the Rfam family "Bacterial small subunit ribosomal RNA", at positions 28 to 523 of the family's 1533-position model. The record is from RNAcentral.
GACGAACGCUGGCGGCGUGCUUAACACAUGCAAGUCGAGCGAUAAAGUUUUUUCGGAAAUGGAUUAGCGGCGAACGGGUGAGGAACACGUGAAGAAUCUGCCCUCCACUUUGGGAUAACACAGGGAAACCUGUGCUAAUACCGAAUAUUGAAACAUAAGUGGCAUCACUGAGUUUUGAAAGAAUUUCGGUGGAGGAUGACUUCGCGGCCUAUCGGCUAGUUGGUGAGGUAAUGGCUCACCAAGGCAACGACGGGUAGCCGGCCUGAGAGGGCGACCGGCCACACUGGGACUGAGACACGGCCCAGACUCCUACGGGAGGCAGCAGUGGGGAAUAUUGGGCAAUGGAGGAAACUCCGACCCAGCGACGCCGCGUGCGGGAUGAAGGCCUUCGGGUUGUAAACCGCUUUCAGUAGGGAAGAAGCGAAAGUGACGGUACCUACAAAAGAAGCACCGGCUAACUAUGUGCCAGCCGCCGCGGUAA